AUGGUGAGUAAGAAAUUGCAGUCUAAAUUCGUGUGUAUUGAUGUUACUCUUAAACAGAUUGAAGGUGCCAUCUCAUAUUUUGAGAAGUACAGAAAUGAAGGCUUUGCUACUAGCUUGGAUAUUGCGAGAUCUAUUGCAAUCGACAUGGGUGUACAACCUUUAUUUCCUGUAAAGCGGCGUAUUACCAGAAAAAGACAAUUUGAUGAAAUUAAUGGCAAUGAAGAAAAUGACCAGAAUCAAGAAGCGCAAGAAAUUAAAUACUUUUUGGUGAUGAUUGAUGUUGCAAUUGCUUCCUUGACUAGUAGAUUUGAGGAACUGAAGUCAUUUGGGAGCAUAUUUGGAUUCUUGUUCAACUCAAAAGAAUUGAAGUUGUUGGGUGAUAAUGAUCUAAGAAAAUGUUGCACUAGUUUUGUCAACACUUUCACUCAUGGUAAGUCAGCAGAUGUUGAUUUAGAUGAUUUUGUUUCUGAACUAAAAGUAUUGCAGAUGACAUUGCCAAACACACUCAUGUCAGCGGAUGUAUUUGAGUUUGUUAGAGUUGCGGAUUCUUAUCCAAAUGUCUCAAUUGCUUAUCGUAUCCUCUUGACUGUGCCGGUCACUGUUGCAUCAGCUGAAAGGAGUUUCACAAAAUUGAAGUUACUAAAAAAUUAUUUGAGGUCAACAAUGUCCCAAGACAGACUGAAUGGUUUGGCCAUGUGCUGCAUCGAGAAGAAUAUGUUGGACAAUAUUGAUCCUGACAUUGUCAUUGAUGAUUUUGCGUCAAAAAAUGCACGGAAGUCUCGCUUCUCAUGA
This 792-nucleotide ribosomal RNA is filed under the name Triticum aestivum (bread wheat). RNAcentral describes it as "partial small subunit ribosomal RNA". The record is from RNAcentral. Lineage: Eukaryota; Viridiplantae; Streptophyta; Magnoliopsida; Poales; Poaceae.